AUGGUACUGCCAAAUGAGAGUUACCGUCUUUUAAAAAAUAGUUAUGAGCAUUUAAAUAAUGAUUACACACGUGGAUAUGACCAACACACUUGCUACUUUAAAAACGAGAAAAUAAUUAAUUUAAUAAACAACAUGAAUGAAAAAGAAAAUAAACAAUUAACAACGUCUGGAGAUGUUUAUUUAAAUAAAAAGGAGCUACAAAAAAGUAAGAUAAAUGUAAUAGAAGAUUAUGACCAUCCUUUGAAUAAUAGUGAUAUAAUUAUGUCAAACUUAUGUUCUAAUGGUAAAUUAUUUACUUCCCCUGAUAUAAAUACGACACAAGUAGAAAUGUCUAUAUAUUUCAAAAUAUAUAAAUCUAUACUUAUGAAAAAUGUUACGCGAUUAAGUGUAUACUUGGAAAAUAAAUUAUUAAAAACGAUUUUUAUUACUGAAUAUCCGCAAACUUUUCCGAUUAUUAUACAACCGAAAACAAAAAUAACAAAUGAAAAAAAAUUCAUUAAAAUACAAAAUAAAUUACUUCAUAUUAAAGAUAAUAAUUUAUUAUAUUUUGUUUUUUUUAACAAUGGUAAAGAAAUUGGGUUUUCUUAUGUUAGUAUUAAAGAUUUAUUAAAAUUAGGAGUAGAAGGUGGAAUGUUUAUGAUAGUACAUGAUUAUAAUAAAGAAGAUAUAUUGAAUAAAAAAAAAAAUAAAGAUGUUGUAUUACCAUCACAAAUUAUACCAUUUAAUAAUCAAGAUAUUGACAUUUUAAAGUCAAAAAUAUUUAUGAACUAUAAAAUAUCUGCUCCAAAGUUUUUAAUAAAUUCAAUUUUACUCUGUGAUAUUAUAACACCUAAACAAAAGGUCAAACGAUUGGAAGAUAUGAUAAGACAAUUGUAUAGUUUUAUUCAUGAAUUUGGUUACUCUAAAAUAAAUAUAAAUGAUAAAAAUAUAAAUGUAAAAACAAGAUUGAAAUAUUAUAGUAAUAAUAAUAAAAGUAUAAACCAUAAGUUUAAUACAAAUAGCCAUAAUAGUUUUAGUAUAAAUAAAAAUAUGAAAACAAAUAUACGAUUUAAAAAAAAUGAAAGUAAAAAAAAAACAACAAGAACAUUAGUUUGUGUACAAAUGAGAUAA
RNAcentral lists this long non-coding RNA (1110 nucleotides) under Piliocolobus tephrosceles (Ugandan red Colobus). RNAcentral's name for it is "lncRNA (ENSPTEG00000008262.1)". Lineage: Eukaryota; Metazoa; Chordata; Mammalia; Primates; Cercopithecidae. The record is from RNAcentral.